AGAAUCAACGCUGGCGGCGUGCCUAACACAUGCAAGUCGAACGAGAAAGUGGAGCAAUCCAUGAGUAAAGUGGCGCACGGGUGAGUAACACGUGACUAACCUACCCUCGAGUGGGGAAUAACUUCGGGAAACCGAGGCUAAUACCGCAUAAAACCUAAGGGUCAAAGGAGCAAUCCGUUUGAGGAGGGGGUCGCGGCAGAUUAGUUAGUUGGCGGGGUAAUGGCCCACCAAGACGAUGAUCUGUAUCCGGCCUGAGAGGGCGCACGGACACACUGGAACUGAAACACGGUCCAGACUCCUACGGGAGGCAGCAGUGGGGAAUUUGCGCAAUGGGGGAAACCCUGACGCAGCAACGCCGCGUGGAGGAUGAAAUCCCUUGGGAUGUAAACUCCUUUCGAUCGGGAAGAUAAUGACGGUACCGGAAGAAGAAGCCCCGGCUAACUUCGUGCCAGCAGCCGC
Molecule: ribosomal RNA, 459 nt
Filed under: uncultured bacterium
Lineage: Bacteria
Description: SSU rRNA
Rfam family: Bacterial small subunit ribosomal RNA
Source: RNAcentral